RNAcentral lists this ribosomal RNA (637 nucleotides) under uncultured bacterium. RNAcentral's name for it is "bacterial SSU rRNA". It matches the Rfam family "Bacterial small subunit ribosomal RNA", at positions 607 to 1244 of the family's 1533-position model. The record is from RNAcentral.
GCUUAACCGAGGAAGUGCUUCGAAAACUGGUAAACUUGAGUGCAGAAGAGGAAAGUGGAACUCCAUGUGUAGCGGUGGAAUGCGUAGAUAUAUGGAAGAACACCAGUGGCGAAGGCGGCUUUCUGGUCUGUAACUGACGCUGAGAUUCGAAAGCAUGGGUAGCAAACAGGAUUAGAUACCCUGGUAGUCCAUGCCGUAAACGAUGAGUGCUAAGUGUUGGAGGGUUUCCGCCCUUCAGUGCUGCAGCUAACGCAUUAAGCACUCCGCCUGGGGAGUACGACCGCAAGGUUGAAACUCAAAGGAAUUGACGGGGGCCCGCACAAGCGGUGGAGCAUGUGGUUUAAUUCGAAGCAACGCGAAGAACCCUACCAGGUCUUGACAUACCAUGAAAAGCUUAGAGAUAAGUCUUUCCCUUCGGGGACAUGGAUACAGGUGGUGCAUGGUUGUCGUCAGCUCGUGUCGUGAGGUGUUGGGUUAAGUCCCGCAACGAGCGCAACCCUUAUUAUCAGUUGCCAGCAUUCAGUUGGGCACUCUGGUGAGACUGCCGGUGACAAACCGGAGGAAGGUGGGGACGACGUCAAAUCAUCAUGCCCCUUAUGACCUGGGCUACACACGUGCUACAAUGGUCGGUACAACG